RNAcentral lists this ribosomal RNA (812 nucleotides) under uncultured Alphaproteobacteria bacterium. RNAcentral's name for it is "bacterial SSU rRNA". It matches the Rfam family "Bacterial small subunit ribosomal RNA", at positions 35 to 886 of the family's 1533-position model. Lineage: Bacteria; Pseudomonadati; Pseudomonadota; Alphaproteobacteria. The record is from RNAcentral.
GCUUGCUGCAUGCUUUAUACAUGCAAGUCGAACGAAGGCCCUAGCUUGCUAGGUGUCCUUAGUGGCGCACGGGUGAGUAACACGUGGGAACAUACCUUAUAGUACGGAAUAACUGCGGGAAACUGUAGCUAAUACCGUAUAUUCCAGUAAUGGGAAAGAUUUAUCGCUAUAAGAUUGGCCCGCGCAAGAUUAGCUUGUUGGUGAGGUAAAAGCUCACCAAGGCUUCGAUCUUUAGCUGGUUUGAGAGGAUGAUCAGCCACACUGGGACUGAGACACGGCCCAGACUCCUACGGGAGGCAGCAGUAGGGAAUAUUGGACAAUGGGGGCAACCCUGAUCCAGCAAUGCAGCGUGAGUGACGAAGGCCUUAGGGUUGUAAAACUCUUUCAUCGGUGAGGAUAAUGACAGUAGCCGAAGAAGAAGGACCGGCUAAUUCCGUGCCAGCAGCCGCGGUAAUACGGAAGGUCCUAGCGUUGUUCGGAAUUACUGGGCGUAAAGCGCAUGUAGGCGGAACAGAAAGUUAGAAGUGAAAUCCCUGGGCUCAACCUAGGAAUUGCUUUUAAAACUUCUGUUCUGGAAUUCAGGAGAGGAAAAUGGAAUUUCCAGUGUAGAGGUGAAAUUCGUAGAUAUUGGAAGGAACACCAGUGGCGAAGGCGAUUUUCUGGACUGAUAUUGACGCUGAGAUGCGAAGGCAUGGGUAGCAAACGGGAUUAGAUACCCCGGUAGUCCAUGCAGUAAACGAUGGGUGCUAGUCGUCGGACUUUUGUUCGGUGUCGUAGCUAACGCGUUAAGCACCCCGCCUGGGGAGUACGGU